RNAcentral lists this ribosomal RNA (440 nucleotides) under uncultured bacterium. RNAcentral describes it as "partial 16S ribosomal RNA". It matches the Rfam family "Bacterial small subunit ribosomal RNA", at positions 338 to 795 of the family's 1533-position model. The record is from RNAcentral.
CCUACGGGUGGCAGCAGUAGGGAAUAUUGCUCAAUGGGGGCAACCCUGAAGCAGCAACGCCGCGUGGAGGAUGAAGGUUUUCGGAUUUUAAACUCCUUUUGUUAGAGAAGAUAAUGACGGUAUCUAACGAAUAAGCACCGGAUAACGCCGUUCCAGCAACCGUGGUAAUACGGAGGGUGUAGGCGUUACACGGAAUCACUGGGCGUAAAGAGGGCGUAGGCGGGUUAGCAAGUCAGAUGUGAAAUCCUAUGGCUUAACCAUAGAACUGCAUUUGAAACUGUUAUUCUAGAGUAUGGGAGAGGUAGGUGGAAUUCUUGGUGUAGGGGUAAAAUCCGUAGAGAUCAAGAGGAAUACUCAUUGCGAAGGCGACCUGCUAGAACAUAACUGACGCUGAUGCGCGAAAGCGUGGGGAGCAAACAGGAUUAGAUACCCGGGUAGUC